GACGACGGACAUCAUGUGAUCAAUCAUCAGCCACAGUAAAAUCGUCGAAAUUUAUUCCGGGGGCUCUAAUCGCAACUUACUUUUACGCUUGCCACGGCUUGAUUAAAAGAUGCUUUCCAAGCUUUUUCUGAUCGCUUUCCUGGCCGUAUGGUCAGUUGCUCUUUCCUUCACCGUAAGGUCUGGGAUCCACAUGGGUGGUGCAGCUGGCUU
Molecule: non-coding RNA, 210 nt
Filed under: Heterosigma akashiwo
Lineage: Eukaryota; Raphidophyceae; Chattonellales; Chattonellaceae
Source: RNAcentral